This 305-nucleotide ribosomal RNA is filed under the name uncultured bacterium. RNAcentral's name for it is "bacterial SSU rRNA". It matches the Rfam family "Bacterial small subunit ribosomal RNA", at positions 333 to 634 of the family's 1533-position model. The record is from RNAcentral.
GCAUUCCUACGGGGCGCAGCAGUGAGGAAUAUUGGUCAAUGGGCGGAAGCCUGAACCAGCCAAGUCGCGUGAGGGAAUAAGGCCCUACGGGUUGUAAACCUCUUUUGUCGGGGAGCAAAUUCCGUUACGUGUAACGGAGUCGAGAGUACCCGAAGAAAAAGCAUCGGCUAACUCCGUGCCAGCAGCCGCGGUAAUACGUAGGGUGCAAGCGUUAUCCGGAUUUAUUGGGCGUAAAGGGCUCGUAGGCGGUUCGUCGCGUCCGGUGUGAAAGUCUAUCGCUUAACGGUGGAUCCGCGCCGGGUACG